UACGGAGGAUCCAAGCGUUAUCCGGAUUUAUUGGGUUUAAAGGGUGCGUAGGUGGUUUUUUAAGUCAGGGGUGAAAGACGGCAGCUUAACUGUCGCAGUGCCUUUGAUACUGAAGAACUUGAAUAAACUAGAGGUAGGCGGAAUGUGACAAGUAGCGGUGAAAUGCAUAGAUAUGUCACAGAACACCAAUUGCGAAGGCAGCUUACUAUGGUUUUAUUGACACUGAGGCACGAAAGCGUGGGGAUCAAACAGG
RNAcentral lists this ribosomal RNA (253 nucleotides) under uncultured bacterium. RNAcentral describes it as "partial 16S ribosomal RNA". It matches the Rfam family "Bacterial small subunit ribosomal RNA", at positions 524 to 776 of the family's 1533-position model. The record is from RNAcentral. RNAcentral also lists the same sequence under 1 other name.